RNAcentral lists this ribosomal RNA (253 nucleotides) under uncultured bacterium. RNAcentral's name for it is "partial 16S ribosomal RNA". It matches the Rfam family "Bacterial small subunit ribosomal RNA", at positions 524 to 776 of the family's 1533-position model. The record is from RNAcentral.
UACGGGGGGGGCAAGCGUUGUCCGGAAUCACUGGGCGUAAAGGGCGCGUAGGCGGCUCGUGAAGUCAGUGGUGAAAGCCCAGGGCUCAACUCUGGGUCGGCCACUGAUACUCGCGAGCUCGAGUUUGGUAGAGGCAGAUGGAAUUCCGGGUGUAGUGGUGGAAUGCGUAGAGAUCCGGAGGAACACCAGCGGCGAAGGCGGCAUCCUGGACUGGUCCUGACACUCAGGAGCGAAAGCGUGGGGAGCGAUCCGG